UUCAACAUCGUUAGAAACAUGAGAGACCGACAUGUGGUAAUACGUGAAUAGUCUUGACCAUUUAUGUGGGGUUUGGAUACCCUAUAUAAUUAAAAAAAGAUGACCUUUCUAAGCUUAUCUUAUCUCAAAUUAUGAAUCUAUUUUCAAAUGAUUCUCUUUAGGAAUAAUAACUGUAGUAAUAAGUUAUCAAAAGAAGAAGUCAUCAACAACACUAUACAAAAACCCCACAAAAAAAAAACAUAAUAUAGUGUUGUUUAUAAACUAAAAAAAAAAAAAAUUCUCAUAUUCCCUUUUUGCAUCAUGUAAAGUUUUUACAUGUAAUUCAUCUUUUGGUUCAAAGUUAGGAAAGGGGACCGAAAGCUCACAUGUGUGUACAUUUUGUUAGGCCCUGUCAAAACCCCAUGAAAGUUCAGAAAAUUAACUUAAAAUCAAAAAAGUCAUUAUGAAGCCCAAAACGGAGAGUAGAUUUUGGAUCAAGACUUUAAUAAAGGCCCAACAUAAGCCCAUUGGACUCCAAAAGAAGGCCAUUGUCUAUAUUUACAUAUCAUCUCCCAACGCCGGCGAUUAUUACCACCGUCAACCUCGCCGCCGGCCAGAGAGAAAAAUGGCGGCGUAUCACCAACCGUACUACGUCUACAAUCCUCAUCCUCUUCCGCAACUCGCCGACGAACCUGGGGCGAUCAACACACUCUUCGUCUCCGGCUUGCCUGACGACGUCAAGGCUCGUGAGAUCCACAACCUCUUCCGCCGUCGUCCCGGAUUCGAGUCUUCACAGCUCAAGUACACCGGACGCGGCGACCAGGUUGUUGCGUUUGCAACGUUCUCGAGUCAUGGGUUCGCUAUGGCUGCAAUGAAUGAGCUAAAUGGUGUGAAGUUUGAUCCUCAGACAGGAUCGACUCUGCAUAUAGAAGUAGCUAGAUCAAACUCUAGAAGGAAAGAAAGGCCAGGAAGUGGGCCUUAUGUGGUAAUUGAUAACAGAAACAAGGAACCAUCUAAAUCUCAGGACGGCCAGAGUGGUGAAGGGGAAAGCGAUCCUGAUGAGGCGGAGGAACCGGGGAAUAGCAAUUCUCCAAAGGGAAACGAUAGUACCAAAAGGUUUGAAAACGAAGUGGACUCUGAUCAAGAUAGUAAAGCACCACCUACUAGUGGGCAUUUGGAAAAAGCAUUUGAAGGAGGUUCUGGUGCUCGACCAUGUUCCACCUUGUUUAUAGCCAAUCUAGGGCCUAAUUGUACAGAAGAUGAACUCAAACAACUCCUGUCUAGGUAUCCUGGUUUCAAUAUUCUGAAAAUCCGAGCAAGAGGCGGAAUGCCAGUUGCAUUUGCUGAUUUUGAGGAAAUUGAACAAGCGACUUAUGUCAUGAAUGAUCUUCAAGGCAACCUCCUAUCGUCUUCAGACCGAGGCGGCAUGCAUAUAGAAUAUGCAAGAUCCAAGAUGAGGAAACAGUAGAAGAUUCUCAUAAACAGUAAGCCUAGCUUCCGAGAACAUGAUUGAGGGAUCAUAAGCAAAGGAACAUGUGUUUCUUAUUUUUAAAGUCACCACUAGUUUAAUUGUUGUCAUGAAGAUGGGUCAUUCUAUGCUGACACUUCGAAAUAUGUAUGAUCUUGGAUAGAGUGAAUCAAGUUCUUGGUCUUGUCAUGGUCCCCUGAAGGUCAAUUAAUCACUGCCCCCACCCAUGUCCUCUCCAGUUUUGGGCUUUUCUUUGUGUGUGUAUAUAUAGCAUCUUAUCUUUGUUCAAUUGAGAAAUAAAUGUUGAUUGGUGAUGCGGAUAGGCAGAAAAGAUACCCCAAGGCAAGGACCCAAUGCAUCACUGUAUUGGCAGGCAACUCAGUUUUUCAUGCAUCAUUAUUACAUUGGCAAAGACUUGCACUGUCGUGCUUGUAAGGAAAGCCUUCAGUGUUUUGUUUUCU
Brassica rapa (field mustard) is the source of this 1908-nucleotide RNA transcript. It is a transcript of the gene named U2 small nuclear ribonucleoprotein B'', with no coding region annotated. The record is from RefSeq and is a predicted model, not a curated record. NCBI's taxonomy places the organism in Eukaryota, Viridiplantae, Streptophyta, Magnoliopsida, Brassicales, Brassicaceae.